Molecule: ribosomal RNA, 513 nt
Filed under: Triticum aestivum (bread wheat)
Lineage: Eukaryota; Viridiplantae; Streptophyta; Magnoliopsida; Poales; Poaceae
Description: partial small subunit ribosomal RNA
Source: RNAcentral
UCAUGCGUCACCGGUAGCAAAGUCCGCGCUAGACAAAAGAGUAGAAGACGCGCUACAGUAUUGGGUCGCUGCUUGUUUGUCUCCUAUGCAGAGCGUGAGAAGGAUGUGAUAACUGUGCCUUAUGAGUUGCAGUGUGCAGUACUACUACCUGGUACUAAUUUUUUUCCUUUUUGCUGGGAGGCAACUGCCCAGGUUCGCCCCUGUGAAGCUCUGUCGUUGCAUGCUAGUACUCUGGAUACUAUGUCAACUAGAUUGUUGAUUGUUUGUGUGGGCAAAGCAACCAAAGUUGUUGAUCGGUACCGAGGAAUGUUUAAAGGCUACAUUGGUGUUUCUAGUAUGGAGAAGCAACUUCAACUUGGGAUACAGAUUCACCAGCAUAUGUACAUGCAUCUCAUAGAGGGAGAGCUCUUGCAUGGAUGUAAGACCAUUUUGCUUCAGUCAGUUAUAGAUUUUAGAGUGAUGAUUUGCUUAAAUUCGUUUCCAUUCAUAAAAUCAACAUCCAAUGAAAUAUGA